RNAcentral lists this ribosomal RNA (657 nucleotides) under Triticum aestivum (bread wheat). RNAcentral describes it as "partial small subunit ribosomal RNA". The record is from RNAcentral. Lineage: Eukaryota; Viridiplantae; Streptophyta; Magnoliopsida; Poales; Poaceae.
AUGGCCGCGCCGACCGUGCUGGCGCUCGCCCUGGCCGUCCUCCUCCUCCCGGCGGCGGCGGCGGCGGCGGGGCGCGCCCCGCCGGGCGCCAGCCCGCUCGUGACCACGUGCAACGAGGGCCCCUUCCCGGCGCACUGCGUCAAGGAGCUGGGCCCGCGCCUCCUCGACAUCCAGACCACGCUGGCGUCGGUCUCGCCGCGGGGCGCGCUCAUCGCCGGCGCGCCGGGCACGGUGGACUUCUCUUCGCUCGUGGCCGUGGCCAUGGAGGCGGCCACGGAGGCUGGCGCGGUGGCGUCCACCAUCUUCGAGGGCAAGCUCCCCGGGUUCAACGCCUCCGUGCCGGACUUCAAGGUCUGCCUCAGCAACUGCAGCGUCACCAUGAAGUCCGCCAUGAAGAAGCUCCACGGCGCCACCGCCGCCAUGAAGGUCCACGCCCACGUGGUCGCCAAGGUGCUCGCCGACCGGGCCAUCACCGACGUGUCGGCCUGCACGAUCAGCUGCAGGAACCUCACCGGCGACGUCAAGCUCAUCCUCGAGACCAGCCUCGUGGAGUUCCAGAAGAUGAUCAGGAUCGCCGUCAACUUCCUCACCAAGAUCGCGGCCAAGACUCCGCCCGGCCCUCUCCCUCCCCUCCCUCCCCCGGUGCGCCGCCGCUAG